ACAGAGGCCCCAAGCGUUAGGCGGAAUCACUGGGCUUAAAGCGUGUGUAGGCGGAUCGUUAAGUGUCUUGUGAAAUCCCACGGCUCACCCGUGGAACUGCUGGGCAUACUGGCGAUCUUGGGCUAACUAGGGGCAGCCGGAACAAGCGGUGGAGCGGUGAAAUGCGUAGAUAUCAGGAGGAACGCCGGCGGCGAAAGCGGCUCUCUGGCCUGUUACUGACGCUGAGGCGCGAAAGCUAGGGGAGCAAACGGGA
RNAcentral lists this ribosomal RNA (253 nucleotides) under uncultured prokaryote. Its description in RNAcentral is "partial 16S ribosomal RNA". It matches the Rfam family "Bacterial small subunit ribosomal RNA", at positions 525 to 777 of the family's 1533-position model. The record is from RNAcentral.